This 301-nucleotide ribosomal RNA is filed under the name uncultured bacterium. RNAcentral describes it as "partial 16S ribosomal RNA". It matches the Rfam family "Bacterial small subunit ribosomal RNA", at positions 509 to 809 of the family's 1533-position model. The record is from RNAcentral.
CAGUCGCCACGGUAAUACGGAGGGUGCAAGCGUUAAUCGGAAUUACUGGGCGUAAAGCGCACGCAGGCGGUUUGUUAAGUCAGAUGUGAAAUCCCCGAGCUUAACUUGGGAACUGCAUUUGAAACUGGCAAGCUAGAGUCUUGUAGAGGGGGGUAGAAUUCCAGGUGUAGCGGUGAAAUGCGUAGAGAUCUGGAGGAAUACCGGUGGCGAAGGCGGCCCCCUGGACAAAGACUGACGCUCAGGUGCGAAAGCGUGGGGAGCAAACAGGAUUAGAGACCCCAGUAGUCCCUGUCUCUUAUAU